GGGGUUGUGGCUCAGCGGUAGAGCACUCACCUUGCACGUGUAAGACCCUGGGUUUGAUCCUCAGCACCACA
This 71-nucleotide transfer RNA is filed under the name Marmota monax (woodchuck). RNAcentral's name for it is "tRNA.Ala". It matches the Rfam family "tRNA". From Rfam's summary of the family: Transfer RNA (tRNA) molecules are approximately 80 nucleotides in length. Their secondary structure includes four short double-helical elements and three loops (D, anti-codon, and T loops). Lineage: Eukaryota; Metazoa; Chordata; Mammalia; Rodentia; Sciuridae. The record is from RNAcentral.